Molecule: non-coding RNA, 23 nt
Filed under: Arabidopsis thaliana (thale cress)
Lineage: Eukaryota; Viridiplantae; Streptophyta; Magnoliopsida; Brassicales; Brassicaceae
Source: RNAcentral
UUCGGAUCACGGCCAGCGACUGU